CCUACGGGAGGCAGCAGUGAGGAAUAUUGGUCAAUGGCCGGAAGGCUGAACCAGCCAUGCCGCGUGAAGGUCAGUGCCCUAUGGGCGUUAAACUUCUUUUGUGCGGGAGCAAUAAUGGUCACGUGUGGCCAGACGAGAGUACCGUACGAAUAAGCAUCGGCUAACUCCGUGCCAGCAGCCGCGGUAAUACGGGGGAUGCAAGCGUUAUCCGGAUUUAUUGGGUUUAAAGGGUGCGUAGGCUGUGAGGUAAGUCAGCGGUGAAAUGCCCCCGCUCAACGGGGUGAAGUGCCAUUGAUACUGCCUGGCUGGAAUGCGGAUGCCGUGGGAGGAAUGUGUGGUGUAGCGGUGAAAUGCAUAGAUAUCACACAGAACACCGAUUGCGAAGGCAUCUCACGAAUCCGCGAUUGAUGCUGAUGCACGAAAGCGUGGGUAUCAAACAGGAUUAGAUACCCUAGUAGUC
RNAcentral lists this ribosomal RNA (460 nucleotides) under uncultured bacterium. RNAcentral describes it as "partial 16S ribosomal RNA". It matches the Rfam family "Bacterial small subunit ribosomal RNA", at positions 338 to 795 of the family's 1533-position model. The record is from RNAcentral.